Molecule: ribosomal RNA, 369 nt
Filed under: uncultured eukaryote
Lineage: Eukaryota
Description: partial 18S ribosomal RNA
Rfam family: Eukaryotic small subunit ribosomal RNA
Source: RNAcentral
CAAUAGCGUAUAUUAAAGUUGUUGCAGUUAAAAAGCUCGUAGUUGAACUUUGGGCCUGGCAGGCCGGUCCGCUUUUUGGCGAGUACUGACCCUGCCGGGCCUUUCCUUCUGGCUAACCUCCCCUCUGGAGAGGCGAACCAGGACUUUUCCUUUGAAAAAAUUAGAGUGUUCAAAGCAGGCCUUUGCUCGAAUAUAUUAGCAUGGAAUAAUAGAAUAGGACGUUUGGUUCUAUUUUGUUGGUUUCUAGGACCAUCGUAAUGAUUAAUAGGGACGGUCGGGGGCAUCAGUAUUCAGUUGUCAGAGGUGAAAUUCUUGGAUUUACUGAAGACUAACUACUGCGAAAGCAUUUGCCAAGGACGUUUUCAUUAA